AUUGAACGCUGGCGGCAGGCCUAACACAUGCAAGUCGAGCGGAUGAAGGGAGCUUGCUCCUGGAUUCAGCGGCGGACGGGUGAGUAAUGCCUAGGAAUCUGCCUGGUAGUGGGGGAUAACGUCCGGAAACGGGCGCUAAUACCGCAUACGUCCUGAGGGAGAAAGUGGGGGAUCUUCGGACCUCACGCUAUCAGAUGAGCCUAGGUCGGAUUAGCUAGUUGGUGGGGUAAAGGCCUACCAAGGCGACGAUCCGUAACUGGUCUGAGAGGAUGAUCAGUCACACUGGAACUGAGACACGGUCCAGACUCCUACGGGAGGCAGCAGUGGGGAAUAUUGGACAAUGGGCGAAAGCCUGAUCCAGCCAUGCCGCGUGUGUGAAGAAGGUCUUCGGAUUGUAAAGCACUUUAAGUUGGGAGGAAGUGCAGUAAGUUAAUACCUUGCUGUUUUGACGUUACCAACAGAAUAGGCACCGGCUAACUUCGUG
This 484-nucleotide ribosomal RNA is filed under the name uncultured bacterium. RNAcentral's name for it is "partial 16S ribosomal RNA". It matches the Rfam family "Bacterial small subunit ribosomal RNA", at positions 30 to 507 of the family's 1533-position model. The record is from RNAcentral.